AUUUAAGUAGUUUAAAUAAAAAUAUUGAUUUGUGGUGUCAAGGAUGUAGUUUAUACCUUAGAUU
This 64-nucleotide transfer RNA is filed under the name Palaeoagraecia brunnea. RNAcentral describes it as "tRNA-His". The record is from RNAcentral. Lineage: Eukaryota; Metazoa; Arthropoda; Insecta; Orthoptera; Tettigoniidae.